This 433-nucleotide ribosomal RNA is filed under the name uncultured bacterium. Its description in RNAcentral is "partial 16S ribosomal RNA". It matches the Rfam family "Bacterial small subunit ribosomal RNA", at positions 30 to 507 of the family's 1533-position model. The record is from RNAcentral.
AGCGAACGCUGGCGGCAGGCCUAACACAUGCAAGUCGAACGAACUCUUCGGAGUUAGUGGCGGACGGGUGAGUAACACGUGGGAACGUGCCUUUAGGCUCGGAAUAACUCAGGGAAACUUGUGCUAAUACCGAAUGUGCCCUUCGGGGGCAAGAUUUAUCGCCCUUAGAGCGGCCCGCGUCUGAUUAGCUAGUGGGGGAGGUAAAGGCUCACCAAGGCGACGCUCAGUAGCUGGUCUGAGAGGAUGGGCAGCCACAUUCGGACUGGGACCCGGCGGAAACUCCUGCGGGAGGGGGGAGUGGGGGAUCUUGCGAAAUGGGGGAAAGGAUGACGCAGCCAGGCCGGGUGAAUGAUGAAGGUCGGAGGAAUGUGAAAUUCUUUCACCGGGGGCGGUAAUGACGGUACCCGGAGAAGAAGCCCCGGCUAACUUCGUG